AACCAGCACCUCAAGUGGUCAGGAUGAUUAUUGGGCCUAAAGCAUCCGUAGCCUGUUCUGUAAGUUUUCGGUUAAAUCUAUGCGCUCAACGUAUAGGCUGCCGAAAAUACUGCAGAACUAGGGAGUGGGAGAGGUAGACGGUACUCGGUAGGAAGGGGUAAAAUCCUUUGAUCUAUUGAUGACCACCUGUGGCGAAGGCGGCUGACUAACAAAACAUUGACACUGAGGCGCGAAAGCGUGGGUAGCAAACAGG
Molecule: ribosomal RNA, 253 nt
Filed under: uncultured archaeon
Lineage: Archaea
Description: partial 16S ribosomal RNA
Rfam family: Archaeal small subunit ribosomal RNA
Source: RNAcentral